This 460-nucleotide ribosomal RNA is filed under the name uncultured bacterium. RNAcentral describes it as "partial 16S ribosomal RNA". It matches the Rfam family "Bacterial small subunit ribosomal RNA", at positions 338 to 795 of the family's 1533-position model. The record is from RNAcentral.
CCUACGGGUGGCAGCAGUGAGGAAUAUUGGUCAAUGGGCGCGAGCCUGAACCAGCCAAGUAGCGUGAAGGAUGAAUGCCCUACGGGUUGUAAACUUCUUUUAUAAAGGAGUAAAGUGAGGCGCGUGUGCCUUUUUGUAUGUACUUUAUGAAUCCGGAUAGGCUAACUCCGUUCCAGCAGCCGCGGUACUACGGAGGAUCCGAGCGUUAUCCGGUUUUAAUGGGUUUAAAGGAAGCGUAGAUGGGUUGUUAAGUCAGUUGUGAAAGUUUGCGGCUCAACCGUAAUAUUGCAAUUGAUACUGGCAGUCUUGAGUACAGUUGAGGUAGGUGGAAUUCGAGGUGUAGCGGUGAAAUGCUUAGAUAUCACGAAGAACGCCGGUGGCGAAGGCAGCUUACUAAUCUGUCACUGACACUGAUGCUCGAAAGUGUGGGUAGCAAACAGGAUUAGAUACCCCUGUAGUC